CACGUAGGCACCUAGCGUUGUCCGGAUUUAUUGGGCGUAAAGAGCGUGUAGGCGGCCAGGUAGGUCUGGUGUGAAAACUCGAGGCUUAACCUCGAGAUGUCAUCGGAAACCAUCUGGCUAGAGUCCGGAAGAGGAGAGUGGAAUUCCUGGUGUAGCGGUGAAAUGCGCAGAUAUCAGGAAGAACACCAAUGGCGAAAGCAGCUCUCUGGGACGGUACUGACGCUGAGACGCGAAAGCGUGGGGAGCGAACAGG
RNAcentral lists this ribosomal RNA (253 nucleotides) under uncultured bacterium. Its description in RNAcentral is "partial 16S ribosomal RNA". It matches the Rfam family "Bacterial small subunit ribosomal RNA", at positions 524 to 776 of the family's 1533-position model. The record is from RNAcentral.